Molecule: ribosomal RNA, 492 nt
Filed under: uncultured bacterium
Lineage: Bacteria
Description: partial 16S ribosomal RNA
Rfam family: Bacterial small subunit ribosomal RNA
Source: RNAcentral
AGUGAACGCUGGCGGUAGGCCUAACACAUGCAAGUCGAACGGCAGCACAGUAAGAGCUUGCUCUUACGGGUGGCGAGUGGCGGACGGGUGAGGAAUACAUCGGAAUCUACUUUUUCGUGGGGGAUAACGUAGGGAAACUUACGCUAAUACCGCAUACGACCUACGGGUGAAAGCAGGGGAUCUUCGGACCUUGCGCGAUUGAAUGAGCCGAUGUCGGAUUAGCUAGUUGGCGGGGUAAAGGCCCACCAAGGCGACGAUCCGUAGCUGGUCUGAGAGGAUGAUCAGCCACACUGGAACUGAGACACGGUCCAGACUCCUACGGGAGGCAGCAGUGGGGAAUAUUGGACAAUGGGCGCAAGCCUGAUCCAGCCAUACCGCGUGGGUGAAGAAGGCCUUCGGGUUGUAGAGCCCUUUUGUUGGGAAAGAAGAGCAGCAGGUUAAUACCCCGCUGUUCUGACGGUACCCAAAGAAUAAGCACCGGCUAACUUCGUG